CUGCCAGAAUAUAAAUGUCCAAUUGGACUAGGUGAUCUCAACCGAUGUUUCGGACAGCGGUUCGAUUCCGCUCAACUCCAUUUUCAUUUGGGGUUGUAAUGGUUUCGACGGGGCGUAAGGAAGAUGACUGAAGCCUGCUCGGUUAGAGCAAAAACACAAACGCUAACAAAAUCGUUAGUUUCUCCCGUCAAACAGCACCAGUUGCUGCUUGAUCUCAAAGGAGAUGGGGUGAUAUCAGCCUUAUCAACCAAAUGAUCCAAGGAGCCUGGAAGGGCUC
Molecule: non-coding RNA, 277 nt
Organism: Prochlorococcus marinus
Lineage: Bacteria; Bacillati; Cyanobacteriota; Cyanophyceae; Synechococcales; Prochlorococcaceae
Source: Rfam